GACGAACGCUGGCGGCGUGCUUAACACAUGCAAGUCGAACGGAAAGGCCUCUUUCGGGGGGUACUCGAGUGGCGAACGGGUGAGUAACACGUGAGUAACCUGCCCUUGACUUUGGGAUAACUUCAGGAAACUGGGGCUAAUACCGGAUAGGAGCUCCUGCUGCAUGGGGGGGGUUGGAAAGUUUCGGCGGUUGGGGAUGGACUCGCGGCUUAUCAGCUUGUUGGUGGGGUAGUGGCUUACCAAGGCUUUGACGGGUAGCCGGCCUGAGAGGGUGACCGGCCACAUUGGGACUGAGAUACGGCCCAGACUCCUACGGGGGGCAGCAGUGGGGAAUAUUGCACAAUGGGUGGAAGCCUGAUGCAGCAACGCCGUGUGCGGGAUGACGGCCUUCGGGUUGUAAACCGCUUUCGCUCAUGACGAAGCUUUGUGUGACGGUAGUGGGUAAAGAAGCACCGGCUAACUACGUG
This 467-nucleotide ribosomal RNA is filed under the name uncultured bacterium. RNAcentral's name for it is "partial 16S ribosomal RNA". It matches the Rfam family "Bacterial small subunit ribosomal RNA", at positions 28 to 507 of the family's 1533-position model. The record is from RNAcentral.